AAUUAACUGCCACCGGGUAGUAGCGUAUAACGCUGGAGUUCAUAUCGUUAGAUCUUUGAAGAUAUGAAGUUCCGGCGAUUUUUUUGU
RNAcentral lists this non-coding RNA (87 nucleotides) under unclassified sequences. The record is from RNAcentral.